GCCCGAGUGGUGGAACUGGUAGACGCGCGGGACUCAAAAUCCCGUCCCGGCAACGGGGUGACGGUUCGACUCCGUCCUCGGGCA
RNAcentral lists this transfer RNA (84 nucleotides) under Gemmatimonadota bacterium. Its description in RNAcentral is "tRNA-Leu". It matches the Rfam family "tRNA". From Rfam's summary of the family: Transfer RNA (tRNA) molecules are approximately 80 nucleotides in length. Their secondary structure includes four short double-helical elements and three loops (D, anti-codon, and T loops). The record is from RNAcentral. RNAcentral also lists the same sequence under 2 other names. Lineage: Bacteria; Pseudomonadati; Gemmatimonadota.